This 468-nucleotide ribosomal RNA is filed under the name uncultured bacterium. Its description in RNAcentral is "partial 16S ribosomal RNA". It matches the Rfam family "Bacterial small subunit ribosomal RNA", at positions 28 to 507 of the family's 1533-position model. The record is from RNAcentral.
GACGAACGCUGGCGGCGUGCUUAACACAUGCAAGUCGAACGGAAAGGCCCUGCUUUUGUGGGGUGCUCGAGUGGCGAACGGGUGAGUAACACGUGAGUAACCUGCCCUUGACUUUGGGAUAACUUCAGGAAACUGGGGCUAAUACCGGAUAGGAGCUCCUGCUGCAUGGUGGGGGUUGGAAAGUUUCGGCGGUUGGGGAUGGACUCGCGGCUUAUCAGCUUGUUGGUGGGGUAGUGGCUUACCAAGGCUUUGACGGGUAGCCGGCCUGAGAGGGUGACCGGCCACAUUGGGACUGGGAUACGGGCCAGACUCCUACGGGGGGCAGCAGUGAGGAAUAGUGCAAGAUGGGCGGAAGCCUGAUGCAGCAACGCCGCGUGCGGGAUGACGGCCUUCGGGUUGUAACCCGCUUUCGCCUGUGACGAAGCGUGAGUGACGGUAAUGGGUAAAGAAGCACCGGCUAACUACGUG